GAAGAUACAGCUCAGUGGUAGAGUGCAUGCCUAGCGUGCAAAAGGUCCUGGGCUCAAUCCCCAGUACCUCCA
This 72-nucleotide transfer RNA is filed under the name Camelus bactrianus (Bactrian camel). It matches the Rfam family "tRNA". Rfam says of the family: Transfer RNA (tRNA) molecules are approximately 80 nucleotides in length. Their secondary structure includes four short double-helical elements and three loops (D, anti-codon, and T loops). The record is from Rfam by way of RNAcentral. Lineage: Eukaryota; Metazoa; Chordata; Mammalia; Artiodactyla; Camelidae. RNAcentral also lists the same sequence under 2 other names.